GCUUCCAUGGUGAAAUUGGUAGACACGGUAGAUUCAAAAUCUUCUUUUUGUAGGUUCGAAUCCUACUGGAAGCA
RNAcentral lists this transfer RNA (74 nucleotides) under Rhodovulum sp. RNAcentral describes it as "tRNA-Leu". It matches the Rfam family "tRNA". Rfam says of the family: Transfer RNA (tRNA) molecules are approximately 80 nucleotides in length. Their secondary structure includes four short double-helical elements and three loops (D, anti-codon, and T loops). The record is from RNAcentral. Lineage: Bacteria; Pseudomonadati; Pseudomonadota; Alphaproteobacteria; Rhodobacterales; Paracoccaceae.